AAUCAACGCUGGCGGCGUGCUUAACACAUGCAAGUCGAACGAGAACGGGUUAUAGCUUGCUAUAAUUGUCAGCUAAGUGGCGCACGGGUGAGUAAUGUAUAGGUAAUAUGCCUCUUACUAAGGGAUAACAAAUGGAAACGUUUGCUAAUACCUUAUACUCCUUAUUAACAGAAGUUAAUAAGGGAAAGAUUUAUUGGUAAGAGAUUAGCCUGUAUUGUAUCAGUUAGUUGGUGGGGUAAUGGCUUACCAAGACUAUGACACAUAACUGGUUUGAGAGGAUGAUCAGUCACACUGGAACUGAGACACGGUCCAGACUCCUACGGGAGGCAGCAGUGGGGAAUAUUGCACAAUGGACGAAAGUCUGAUGCAGCAACGCCGCGUGGAGGAUGACACAUUUCGGUGCGUAAACUCCUUUUAUAUGAGAAGGUAAUGACGGUAUUAUAUGAAUAAGCACCGGCUAACUCCGUGCCAGCAGCCGCAGUAA
RNAcentral lists this ribosomal RNA (484 nucleotides) under uncultured bacterium. RNAcentral's name for it is "partial 16S ribosomal RNA". It matches the Rfam family "Bacterial small subunit ribosomal RNA", at positions 32 to 523 of the family's 1533-position model. The record is from RNAcentral.